This 1648-nucleotide ribosomal RNA is filed under the name Pelodera pseudoteres. RNAcentral describes it as "SSU rRNA". It matches the Rfam family "Eukaryotic small subunit ribosomal RNA". The record is from RNAcentral. Lineage: Eukaryota; Metazoa; Nematoda; Chromadorea; Rhabditida; Rhabditidae.
UGCCGAUAUGCNUAWGUMAAAGNUUAAGCCAUGCAUGUCUAAGAACGCCGUUUACGGUUUUUCUGUAUAUAGCUCAUUACAACAGUACUAUUUGCCUCGAUUAAUCCUACCUAGGAUACUUUCGAUAAUCCUGGAGUCAAUACCGUGCCCUACGGGGAAAUAAGGUCACCAGCCUGCUCUGCAGUUUGUGUACCGUAAUAUCUGAAUUUCUUAUGAAACCGAGCGUAAGCUUCGGCAAAUCGUGCAAAGCACUGUCCUUUUAACUUGAGAUGGUAGUGUGGGGGACUACCAUGGUGCAUUACGGGUAACGGGGUAUAAGGGUAUUACACCGGAGAGGAUGCCUUAGAUACGGCAACCACAUCUAAGGGAGGCAGCAGGCGCGCAAAUUACCACGUCUUAAAUCAAGGCGGUAGUGACGAAACGUAUCAAGCUAUUCUCUAUGAGAGUAUGCAUUGAAAUGGUUCAUAACCAAAACCUCUGAGGAGGAUCUAUGAGAGGGCAAGUCUGGUGCCAGCAGCCGCGGUAAUUCCAGUUCUCAAGGCGUAUGGCCGUUGUGUUGUGGUUAAAAAGCUCGUGAUUGUAUCUGUGUAAGUACCUUAGGCUUGUCCUGGGGGAAUCGCCGAAUGGCRAGAGCUACUCUGAGCAAAUCAGAGUGCUCAAAACAAGCUUUNCGCUUGAAUGUUCGUGUAUGGAAUGAUUGAAUAGGACUUUGUGUUCUUAUCAGUUGGUUUUGAAUCAAAGUAAUGGUUGAACGGGACCCGCGGGGGCAUACGUAUCGUUACGCGAGAGGUGAAAUUCGUGGACCGUAACGAGACGACCGAAAGCGAAAGCAUUUGCCAAGAAUGUCUUCAUUAAUCAAGAACGAAAGUCAGAGGUUCGAAGGCGAUUAGAUACCGCCAUAGUUCUGACCUUAAACAAUACCAGCUGGCGAACCGAUGGUGGCGAAAGCUGCCUUUUCGGGGAGCACCCCGGAAACGAAAGCAUAUCGGAUCCGGGGGUAGUAUGGUUGCAAAGCUGAAACUUAAAGGAAUUGACGGAAGAGCACCACCAGGAGUGGAGCCUGCGGCUUAAUUUGACUCAACACGGGAAACCUCACCCGGCCCGGACACCGUAAGGAUUGUCAGACUGAUUGCUCUUAUAUGAUUCGGUGGUUGGUGGUGCAUGGCCGUUCUUAGUUGGUGAAGCGAUUUGUCAGGUUUAUUCCGGUAACGAGCGAGACUCUAGGCUCUAUUUGAACUCAAGAUCCUUGGAUCUUUGAUGUUUCAUAGAGGAAUUGGUGGUAAAGAACGGCAUGCAAUAGAGCAAUAACAGGUCUGUGAUGCCCUUCGAUGUCCGGGGCUGCACGCGUGCUACACUGGGGUCCUCAGCAGUUUCCUAUCUUAAUCAGACACAGGUAAACCGUUGCAAGGACCCCGUGUUCGGGUUAUGAAUUUGCUAUUAUUCUCCUCUAACGAGGAAUUCCUAUUAAGGACGAGUCAUUAUCUUGNUCUGAUUAUGUCCCUGCUCUUUGUACACACCGCCCGUCGCUACCCGGGACUGAACCUKUUCGAGAAAUACAGGGAGCUGUUGCAUUGGACUCGUCUUUUGCGGCAGUGAACUAGCUUGAUCGCGAAGGUUUGAACCGGGUAAAAGUCGUAACAAGGUACCG